Long non-coding RNA from Piliocolobus tephrosceles (Ugandan red Colobus), 1503 nucleotides. The record is from Ensembl. Lineage: Eukaryota; Metazoa; Chordata; Mammalia; Primates; Cercopithecidae.
AGUGAUAAGAAAACGAGUAGUGAUAAAACGAGUGAUGGUAAGGUUCAACAUAAGUACUUUUUUAGUCCAAUAAAAAGUAAUAACAUUAAAGAUAUAAAAAGAAGAUUAAGAAUAAGUAAUAAAAAUUAUAAUUCAAAAAAAACAAAUUAUAUUUUAAAAAAAAAGGAUAUUCAUAAAUCGUUAAUUAAUGAUAUUAAUAAAGAAAAUAUAAAAGAAGAGUUACAAAAUAUAGGACAAAAUAAAAUAAAAGAAAAUGCAUUAUUACCUUUACCAUUAGAUAAUAAAAAUGCAGAAGGUUAUAAUUGUUUAUUAUUAUGUAAAGGUAUACCAUUUCAUGCGACACGUUCACAGAUUGAAUAUUUUUUUAAACCAUAUAAACUAAUAUAUAAAUAUAUUAUUUUUAUAAAUGAUAAAAAUGGUCACUUUUUUGGUGAUAUAAUUGUAAGGUUUAUAAAUAAUGAACAAAAAAAAUUAGCAUUACAAAACAAAAAUUAUAAAUUCUUAUUACAUAGAUAUAUACAAUUAUUUAACAUAAAUGAAGAAUAUUAUGAAGAAUAUUUUAAUAUAGGUUAUAAGAACCCUCCAUUAUAUAAAAAUUAUGUACCUAUUAAAAAUAUAAUAGUUUCUAAUCCAUUAGAAAGUUAUACAGAUAGUGUUAACAAUAUUGACAUAGUUGAAGAUAUUGUUGGUAGUGUUGGUCGUAGCAGUAAUAGUAACUCGUCCAUUAUAAAUAACAACAAUACUGAUGAUAAAGAUACAAAAGAGCUUCGAGAAAAGGUCAAUUGUAAUGGUAUAUUGUUAAAAACGUUAUAUACUGGUAAACGGCUAAAAGGAAGAAUUACAUCCGUGCAUUCUUAUGGUGUUUUUGUUGACUGUAAUGUAUAUAUAAAAAGCGUUAAUAACAAAUAUAUUAAAAUUUUAGCUUUAUUGCAUAAAAAUAAAUUAACUAUAAAUGUAGGUUUACCUUUUGAUCCAAUAAAUGAACAGGAAAAAAAAGAAUUAAUUUUAAAAAAAAAUAUGAACAUUAUUGUAUAUGUUGACAAAAUUAUAGAUCGAAAUAAAAACUUAUAUGUUCCAGAUAGCGUCCUUAAUUUUGGAAAGGAUACUACUACGAGUAGUGGUGAUGGUAGUAAUAGUAACAACAAUAGAAAUAACUUAAUUUUUUUUAAUCUUACUUUAGAUUCUUCUAUCACAAAAGAAAAAAUUGAUUGGCUACAAAAAGCAAAAAUAAAGCGACAAUUAACACUAAAUAUAAAAAAUAAUAACUAUGAAACAAAAAUUGCAAAAAAUAAAUUUUGUUUAACCCUUAAUGGUAAUACUAGAAAAUGUGAAGCUGAUUUAGAGAAAGUUGUAGAAAUAAAAAAUGACAAUAAUACUAAAUAUAACAAGCAGAGUGAAAAUAAUGCUAAAACAAUCUCAAACUGUUAUAAUAACGAUGGAUGUGAAUUGAUCAAAGAUAAUAACAACUAUCUGAGUGAAAAAAAAAAAAGUAAAUAUUUUUAA